GGAAGCGUGCCAGAGCGGCCGAAUGGGACACACUGCUAAUGUGUUGUGCUCGUCAAGGGCACCGAGGGUUCAAAUCCCUCCGCUUCCGC
RNAcentral lists this transfer RNA (89 nucleotides) under Nakamurella endophytica. RNAcentral describes it as "tRNA-Ser". It matches the Rfam family "tRNA". From Rfam's summary of the family: Transfer RNA (tRNA) molecules are approximately 80 nucleotides in length. Their secondary structure includes four short double-helical elements and three loops (D, anti-codon, and T loops). Lineage: Bacteria; Bacillati; Actinomycetota; Actinomycetes; Nakamurellales; Nakamurellaceae. The record is from RNAcentral.